GACGAACGCUGGCGGCGUGCUUAACACAUGCCAGUCGAACGGAAAGGCCCUGCUUUUGUGGGGUUCUCGAGUGGCGAACGGGUGAGUAACACGUGAGUAACCUGCCCUUUACUUUGGGAUAACUUCAGGAAACUGGGGCUAAUACCGGAUAGGAGCUCCUGCUGCAUGGUGGGGGUUGGAUAGUUUCGGCGGUUGGGGAUGGACUCGCGGCUUAUCAGCUUGUUGGUGGGGUAGUGGCUUACCCAGGCUUUGACGGGUAGCCGGCCUGAGAGGGUGACCGGCCACAUUGGGACUGAGAGACGGACCAGACUCCUACGGGAGGCAGUAGUGGGGAAUAUUGCACAGUGGGCGGGAGCCUAAUGCAGCAGCGCCGGGUGCGGGAUGACGGCCUUCGGGUUGGAAACCGCUUUCGCCUGUGACGAAGCGUGAGUGACGGUAAUGGGUAAAGAAGCACCGGCUAACUACGUG
Molecule: ribosomal RNA, 468 nt
Filed under: uncultured bacterium
Lineage: Bacteria
Description: partial 16S ribosomal RNA
Rfam family: Bacterial small subunit ribosomal RNA
Source: RNAcentral